RNAcentral lists this ribosomal RNA (434 nucleotides) under uncultured Lachnospiraceae bacterium. Its description in RNAcentral is "partial 16S ribosomal RNA". It matches the Rfam family "Bacterial small subunit ribosomal RNA", at positions 341 to 792 of the family's 1533-position model. The record is from RNAcentral. Lineage: Bacteria; Bacillati; Bacillota; Clostridia; Lachnospirales; Lachnospiraceae.
ACGGGAGGCAGCAGUGGGGAAUAUUGCACAAUGGGGGAAACCCUGAUGCAGCGACGCCGCGUGGGUGAUGAAGUAUUUCGGUACGUAAAGCCCUAUCAGCAGGGAAGAUAAUGACGGUACCUGACUAAGAAGCUCCGGCUAAAUACGUGCCAGCAGCCGCGGUAAUACGUAUGGUGCAAGCGUUAUCCGGAUUUACUGGGUGUAAAGGGAGCGCAGGCGGUACGGCAAGUCUGAUGUGAAAGCCCGGGGCUCAACCCCGGUACUGCAUUGGAAACUGUCGAACUAGAGUGUCGGAGGGGUAAGCGGAAUUCCUAGUGUAGCGGUGAAAUGCGUAGAUAUUAGGAGGAACACCAGUGGCGAAGGCGGCUUACUGGACGAUAACUGACGCUGAGGCUCGAAAGCGUGGGGAGCAAACAGGAUUAGAUACCCUGGUA